GAUGAACGCUGGCGGUAUGCUUAACACAUGCAAGUCGAACGGACUCUUCGGAGUUAGUGGCGGACGGGUGAGUAACGCGUGAGAAUCUGGCUUUGGGUUCGGGACAACCACUGGAAACGGUGGCUAAUACCGGAUGUGCCGAGAGGUAAAAGAGAAAUUGCCUGAAGAUGAGCUCGCGUCUGAUUAGCUAGUUGGUGAGGUAAAGGCUCAACAAGGCAGCGAUCAGUAGCUGGUCUGAGAGGAUGACCAGCCACACUGGGACUGAGACACGGCCCAGACUCCUACGGGAGGAAGCAGUGGGGAAUUAUCCGCAAUGGGCGAAAGCCUGACGGAGCAAUACCGAGUGAGGGAAGAAGGCUCUUGGGUUGUAAACCUCUUUUCUUAGGGAAGAACAAAAUGACGGUACCUAAGGAAUCAGCAUCGGCUAACUCCGUG
Molecule: ribosomal RNA, 435 nt
Filed under: uncultured bacterium
Lineage: Bacteria
Description: partial 16S ribosomal RNA
Rfam family: Bacterial small subunit ribosomal RNA
Source: RNAcentral